ACUCUCGUUUCUCUUCAGAUCUUAUAAAUCUUUCGCCUUUUACUAAAGAUUUCCGUGGAGAGGAGUGCUCAGAGAUUAAGCAAUUUUUUUUGUUGCCUUACUUUUGUAGGGCU
Molecule: small nuclear RNA, 113 nt
Organism: Chiloscyllium plagiosum (whitespotted bambooshark)
Lineage: Eukaryota; Metazoa; Chordata; Chondrichthyes; Orectolobiformes; Hemiscylliidae
Product: U5 spliceosomal RNA
Source: RefSeq, a predicted model, not a curated record